AUGAUAAGGAAGUUCAAUGAGCGGACAAACAGAAAUUAUGUUCGCAAGCAAUUCAAGAAUAGGUGGGAUUUACUUAAAAAAGAGUACAAUUGUUGGAAGACGUUGAACCAAAAGGCAUCUGGCAUUGGAAUAGAUCCUGUUACUAGGAGCAUUGCGGCUACCGAUGAAUGGUGGGCGAAUGAGAUACAGAGGAAUGAGAUUGCCGCCAAGUUCCGAUAUGCUCCAUUAGUUGAUGAGCAAAGAAUGAGUUUUAUAUUUGAUGACCAUAGUGUGACGAAUGCAUAUGCAAGGGUCGCAACUCCCUCGUCUCAAGUUGAUGCUUCUCAAAUUAACAUUGAAUAG
RNAcentral lists this ribosomal RNA (342 nucleotides) under Triticum aestivum (bread wheat). RNAcentral describes it as "partial small subunit ribosomal RNA". Lineage: Eukaryota; Viridiplantae; Streptophyta; Magnoliopsida; Poales; Poaceae. The record is from RNAcentral.